This is a long non-coding RNA of Eptesicus fuscus (big brown bat), 885 nucleotides long. RefSeq lists it as uncharacterized. The record is from RefSeq and is a predicted model, not a curated record. The transcript is spliced from 5 exons. NCBI's taxonomy places the organism in Eukaryota, Metazoa, Chordata, Mammalia, Chiroptera, Vespertilionidae.
AUCCGGCGCAGAACCAGCUGCCACCGUUAAGUGCCCCUCCCUUCUUCUCCUCCUCCUCCUCCUCCCAGUUCUCGGGCUCCGCCGGCUUCUCGCGAGAGUGGCGGCGCUGCGGGAAUCGGAGAGCGCUCGGCGGACUCGACGUGCCCCACCGCGGGGUGGUGCUCUGACUGCGGCAACCGUUGGAGGGCUGCCCCGGAGGAGGCGGCGAGGCGCCACCGGUCUCUUAAACUUCUUCUCAAGUGUAUUCUGCACUAAGAGGAAUGACUGCACCAAUUUCCUGAGCUAUGGCAGUCAGACCUGGUAGCAGUAACUUCUCUGCAGAACCCCCUAACCUGGCAAGGAUGAUUCAGAUGUUGGCAGAUUAUGGCUUCAUCCCCACCCAGCACUGAUGUUAUCAGCAGAGGAAUAUCAUUGAUCCCUGGAGAAGGGAGCUUCAACCAACUUGAGGAUCUACUAUUUAGUUAUAGAACUGUACUACAAGAAAUGGUGAUGAUAGUUCUUCAAAGGGAAAAGAAAUAAUAUUACAGAAAACUUGGAUAUUCAGGAGCAACUGAAGAGAAUAAGAAAUGGAACUGAUAUGACCCGGAUUCAGUAUAUUCUGUCCAUGGAGUGGUGCUGUGUAUGAUCUACACAGCUGUAUAAGAUUGCCUUGGGUGAGCAACAGUCUGGUAAUGGAGUUAACUCAAUCAAGUUAAAUAUAUUCAUUACUAGAGACCCGAUGCAUGAAAUUCAUGCAAGGGCCUUGGCCCCAGCCCCUGUCCACCGUGGCCAGGGCCUCUGCCGCCUCUGCCAUGGCCCCCACCCACUGCGGCUUUGUCCAGAAGGAAGGAUGUCCAGAAAGGACAUCCUGUCUAAUUAGCAUAUUAUGCUUUUAUUAUUAUAGAU